This 46-nucleotide non-coding RNA is filed under the name Schistosoma margrebowiei. Lineage: Eukaryota; Metazoa; Platyhelminthes; Trematoda; Strigeidida; Schistosomatidae. The record is from RNAcentral.
AUCCAGUUGACGAGUUCGAAAUAGGACGAAACGCGCGUUUUGCGAU